Molecule: RNA transcript, 2352 nt
Organism: Oncorhynchus keta (chum salmon)
Lineage: Eukaryota; Metazoa; Chordata; Actinopteri; Salmoniformes; Salmonidae
Gene name: high affinity cGMP-specific 3',5'-cyclic phosphodiesterase 9A-like
Exons: 17
Source: RefSeq, a predicted model, not a curated record
UGAGGGAGGCUGAGACGGGCGGGAGGGGGAGAAGAAAGGGAGUUUAUGAGAUGAGAGAGAGCUAGGUAAGUGACGGAGAGAGAUGAUGUUGAAACGCUAAUUUAAUUUCCCCAUUCAGAGACGCACCGACCGCUCUCGGGGGGGUUCCAGCUCGACCACCGACGGAGCGGAGCGGUAGCCUAUAGCCCACAUUCCGAGUCCUCGACCGAGGUGACGGCGAGACAGGCUCGAGGGGAGGAAAGGGAGAGAUGGGAUCAGCUUCGUCGGUGUAUCGAGUAAUCUACCUGGACGUCGAUGGCAGAAUUCAGAAGUUGUCUUGAAAGCACCAUAAAUACAGAGAAUGCCAGCCAGACUUUGAUGACAACAUUUGCCCACGAAGGACUGCCGUACCACGUUUCCUGUUCAAGUGAGCACAGCACAACAAGAGCGUUUAAAAUCAACGUACUGAAGACGGAGGUGACAAACCGCUUGGCGAUGUUGGAGAAGAGAGGUGAGCUGGAGGGGAUGAAAGUGGUGGAGAAGUGUGACAGCGACAUCAAGAAGUUCAGGGAUGAGAUGGCCUCCAUGAACAACAGUAGUCAUUUCCUGGAUGACAAAAAGAAGCUGACACCUCGGAGAGACGUGCCCUCUUACCCCAAGUACCACCUGUCUCAGGAGACAGUGGAAGCUCUCAGACAUCCCAGCUUUGAUGUGUGGCAGUGGGAGCCCAAUGAGAUGCUGAGCUGCCUGGAGCACAUGUACAAUGACCUGGACCUGGUCAAGGGCUUCAACAUGAACCCCAUCACACUGAAGAGUUGGCUGCUUUGUAUCCAUGACAACUACCAGAUGAAUCCCUUCCAUAACUUCCGUCACUGUUUUUGUGUCACCCAGAUGAUGUACAGCAUGAUCUGCCUCUGCAGCCUACAGGUAAUACUACAGGAGAUAUUCAGCCAGGUGGACAUUCUGAUUCUGAUGACAGCUGCAGUGUGCCACGAUCUGCAGCACCCAGGGUACAACAACACGUACCAGAUAAACGCACGGACGGAGCUUGCGGUACGCUACAAUGACAUCUCUCCUCUGGAGAAUCAUCACUGUGCCGUGGCCUUCCAGAUCUUCUCUCAGCCUGACUGCAACAUCUUCUCCACCUUCGAUGCUGAGGCCUUCAAACAGAUUCGUCAGGGAAUCAUCACACUGAUCCUGGCCACAGACAUGGCACGACAUGGCGAGAUACUGGACUCAUUCAAGCAUAAAGUGGACCGCUUUGACUUCAGUGAUGAAGAGCAUGUCACUUGUCUGAAGAUGGUGCUAAUUAAGUGCUGUGACAUCUCUAACGAGGUGCGGCCCAUGGAGGUGGCUGAGCCCUGGGUCGACUGUCUGCUGGAGGAAUACUUCAUGCAGAGUGACAGGGAGAAGGCAGAGAGUCUGCCUGUAGCCCCCUUCAUGGACAGAGAAAAGGUCACCAAACCCACCGCCCAGAUCGGAUUCAUCAAGUUCGUCCUUAUCCCCAUGUUUGAGACUGUAAUGAAGCUGUUCCCUCAGAUUGACGAAGUGAUGAUCCAGCCUCUGAGAGAGUCACGAGACAGAUACGAGGAGCUCAAGCAGAUUGACGAUGCCAUGAAUGAGGUGGAGAAAAAAAAAAAGUGAGAACCUGACUAUGGGGAAGAAGAAAUGAGAGCUCGAAGCUCAAAAGUCCUAUGGUGGAGACGAGUCAGUAUGGCAUUCUGAGGAAGAGGGGAAUCCGACCAAGCCUGUCUGACUGGCUGGAUGGACAAUCCAAAGCUUAUAUCAGGAAAUGUCGACUUGAACAGCACGGACUACUUCAGAGUACGUUGAACCGGCCUCAACCACAUGUAACCACGCCAGCCCAGGACCUCCACAUCCGGCUUCUUCACCUGCGGGAUCGUCUGAGACCAACCACCCGGACAGCUGAUGAACAUUUCUAUUUGUAAUAAAGCCCUUUUGUGAAAACCAAAGUAUUCUGAGUGGGUGGUCCUAUGCCUUCCCCAGGCCCACCCGUGGCUCCACCCCCCUGCCUAGGCAUGUGAAAACCAAAGUAUUCUGAGUGGGUGGGCCUAUGCCUUCCCCAGGCCCACCCGUGGCUCCACCCCCCUGCCUAGGCAUGUGAAAACCAAAGUAUUCUGAGUGGGUGGUCCUAUGCCUUCCCCAGGCUCCACCCAUGGCUCCACCCCCCUGCCUAGGCAUGUGAAAACCAAAGUAUUCUGAGUGGGUGGUCCUAUGCCUUCCCCAGGCUCCACCCAUGGCUCCACCCCCCUGCCUAGGUGUGUGAAAUCCAUAGAUUAAGGUUUAACACAUUUAUUUCAAUUGACUGAUUUCCUUGUAUAACCUGUCAUGCAGUAAAAUCAUUCAAAUGGU